ACUAUGUGAAAAAAAUUCAAACGAAAAAGCUAACGGUCUAUUUUACAAAAAAAACAAAUAUGACACAUAUGUAUACAACGACAACAAUUGAACUUCGUGCUCCUGACUUGGGGCAGGUACAUAAAGAAAGUGCACGUGGCGGAGUUUAACAUGUAUAUGAGAGAACAUCGAACUGUAACAGUAGUGUAACAGCACAACACGAGAAAAAAAUGUAAACUAGACAAAUCGAUGCCCCCGCACUCCACUCAUUUAACCGCUUAUACCCC
RNAcentral lists this long non-coding RNA (266 nucleotides) under Mytilus galloprovincialis (Mediterranean mussel). Lineage: Eukaryota; Metazoa; Mollusca; Bivalvia; Mytilida; Mytilidae. The record is from RNAcentral.